Poecilia latipinna (sailfin molly) is the source of this 723-nucleotide long non-coding RNA. RefSeq lists it as uncharacterized. The record is from RefSeq and is a predicted model, not a curated record. Lineage: Eukaryota; Metazoa; Chordata; Actinopteri; Cyprinodontiformes; Poeciliidae. The transcript is spliced from 2 exons.
GUAGUUGUUGGACAGCUCCGAAAUGCUGAGCAGCACUAGAUCUGGAAGUUUUAAAGUGAAAUGAGUUGAUCUGCUUAUGUUCCAAAUGAUCAGCAAGCCAGAAGCCAAAAACGCUUUAUCUCAGCGAAAGAAGUCAAAAAUGGACUAUCUGUGAAUUUGCAGCUUUACAUUCAAUUUUCAGCAUUGUUAGUUGUUGGACAGCUCCGAAAUGCUGAGCAGCACUAGAUCUGGCUGUAUUAAACUGAAAUGAGUUGAUCUGCUUAUGUUCCAAAUGAUCUGCAAGCCAGAAGCCAAAAACGCUUUAUCUCAGCGAGAGAAGUCAAAAAUGGACUAUCUGUGAAUUUGCAGCUUUACACUAAAUUUUCAGCAUUGUUAGUUGUUAGACAUCUAAGAAAUGCUGAGCAGCACUGGAUCUGGCUUUUGGUUGAAAACUCAUAUACAUUGUCUGUGGUUCUUUCUUUUUUAUGUAGGUUUGAGAAAAUACCUAUCAAUUGGUGCCGUGACCCGGAUUCUCGACAUUUCCGUUCGCUGACAGACGAAGAAUGGCGCGCUGAAACUGUGCACGGCCAGAGUCAACAGGACCUGCAAACAAAGUCCUGGGAAGUGAAUUCUUCGCUGGGCCAGCGACGUAGGUCCGACUUUGUCUGCCAAUGACGGAUUGACGAGAUCCGAACAGACAAAACGAACCAACAGAAACAUGAGUGGAAAAGCGCUAUUCGGGUU